CGCUGGCGGCAUGCCUUACACAUGCAAGUCGAACGGCAGCGCGGGGCAACCUGGCGGCGAGUGGCGAACGGGUGAGUAAUAUAUCGGAACGUGCCCUGGAGUGGGGGAUAACGUAGCGAAAGUUACGCUAAUACCGCAUACGAUCUAAGGAUGAAAGUGGGGGAUCGCAAGACCUCAUGCUCGUGGAGCGGCCGAUAUCUGAUUAGCUAGUUGGUGGGGUAAAGGCCUACCAAGGCGACGAUCAGUAGCUGGUCUGAGAGGACGACCAGCCACACUGGGACUGAGACACGGCCCAGACUCCUACGGGAGGCAGCAGUGGGGAAUUUUGGACAAUGGGCGCAAGCCUGAUCCAGCAAUGCCGCGUGAGUGAAGAAGGCCUUCGGGUUGUAAAGCUCUUUUGUCAGGGAAGAAACGGUCGUUUCUAAUACAGGUGACUAAUGACGGUACCUGAAGAAUAAGCACCGGCU
This 467-nucleotide ribosomal RNA is filed under the name uncultured bacterium. RNAcentral describes it as "bacterial SSU rRNA". It matches the Rfam family "Bacterial small subunit ribosomal RNA", at positions 34 to 498 of the family's 1533-position model. The record is from RNAcentral.